RNAcentral lists this ribosomal RNA (466 nucleotides) under uncultured bacterium. Its description in RNAcentral is "partial 16S ribosomal RNA". It matches the Rfam family "Bacterial small subunit ribosomal RNA", at positions 28 to 507 of the family's 1533-position model. The record is from RNAcentral.
GAUGAACGCUGACAGAAUGCUUAACACAUGCAAGUCAACUUGAAUUUGGGUUUUUUCACUUAGAUUUGGGUGGCGGACGGGUGAGUAACGCGUAAAGAACUUGCCUCACAGCUAGGGACAACAUUUGGAAACGAAUGCUAAUACCUGAUAUUAUGAUUAUAAGGCAUCUUAGAAUUAUGAAAGCUUUAUGCGCUGUGAGAGAGCUUUGCGUCCCAUUAGCUAGUUGGAGAGGUAACGGCUCACCAAGGCGAUGAUGGGUAGCCGGCCUGAGAGGGUGAACGGCCACAAGGGGACGGAGAAACGCCCCUAACCCUUACGGGAGGAAGAAGGGGGAAUAUUGGACAAUGGACCAAGAGUCUGAUCCAGCAAUUCUGUGUGCACGAUGACGUUUUUCGGAAUGUAAAGUGCUUUCAGUUGGGAAGAAAAAAUGACGGUACCAACAGAAGAAGUGACGGCUAAAUACGUG